This 253-nucleotide ribosomal RNA is filed under the name uncultured bacterium. Its description in RNAcentral is "partial 16S ribosomal RNA". It matches the Rfam family "Bacterial small subunit ribosomal RNA", at positions 524 to 776 of the family's 1533-position model. The record is from RNAcentral.
GACAGAGGGUGCAAACGUUGUUCGGAUUUACUGGGCGUAAAGCGCGUGUAGGCGGCUUGGUAAGUCGGAUGUGAAAGCCCACCGCUCACCGGUGGAAGUGCAUUCGAAACUGCUUCGCUAGAGUCCUGGAGAGGAAGAUGGAAUGCUUGGUGUAGAGGUGAAAUUCGUAGAUAUCAAGCAGAACACCUGCGGCGAAGGCGGUCUUCUGGACAGUGACUGACGCUGAGACGCGAAAGCGUGGGGAGCAAACAGG